RNAcentral lists this ribosomal RNA (253 nucleotides) under uncultured bacterium. RNAcentral describes it as "partial 16S ribosomal RNA". It matches the Rfam family "Bacterial small subunit ribosomal RNA", at positions 524 to 776 of the family's 1533-position model. The record is from RNAcentral.
UACGUAGGGUGCUAGCGUUAUCCGGAUUUAUUGGGCGUAAAGAGCUCGUAGGCGGCUUGUUGCGUCUGCUGUGAAAUCCCGGGGCUUAACCCCGGGCGUGCAGUGGAUACGGGCAGGCUGGAGGCAGGCAGGGGAGAAUGGAAUUCCCGGUGUAGCGGUGAAAUGCGCAGAUAUCGGGAGGAACACCGGUGGCGAAGGCGGUUCUCUGGGCCUGUUCUGACGCUGAGGAGCGAAAGCGUGGGGAGCGAACAGG